RNAcentral lists this ribosomal RNA (484 nucleotides) under uncultured bacterium. RNAcentral describes it as "partial 16S ribosomal RNA". It matches the Rfam family "Bacterial small subunit ribosomal RNA", at positions 30 to 507 of the family's 1533-position model. The record is from RNAcentral.
AUUGAACGCUGGCGGCAGGCCUAACACAUGCAAGUCGAGCGGAUGAAGGGAGCUUGCUCCUGGAUUCAGCGGCGGACGGGUGAGUAAUGCCUAGGAAUCUGCCUGGUAGUGGGGGAUAACGUCCGGAAACGGGCGCUAAUACCGCAUACGUCCUGAGGGAGAAAGUGGGGGAUCUUCGGACCUCACGCUAUCAGAUGAGCCUAGGUCGGAUUAGCUAGUUGGUGGGGUAAAGGCCUACCAAGGCGACGAUCCGUAACUGGUCUGAGAGGAUGAUCAGUCACACUGGAAAGGAGAAACGGUCAAGAAUACUGCGGGAGGCAGCAGUGGGGAAUAUGGGACAAUGGGCGAAAGCCUGAACCAGCCAUGACGAGUGUGUGAAGAAGGUUAUGGGAUUGUAAAGCUCUUUAAGUUGGGAGAAAGGGCAGUACACGAAUACAUUGCGGGUUUGACGUUACCGACAAAAUAAGAACCGGCUAACUUCGUG